UACAGAGGGUGCGAGCGUUGUUCGGAAUUAUUGGGCGUAAAGGGCGCGUAGGCGGCUCGGUAAGUCGGGUGUGAAACCUCCAGGCUCAACCUGGAGACGCCACCCGAUACUGCUGUGACUCGAGUCCGGUAGGGGAGCGUGGAAUUCCUGGUGUAGCGGUGAAAUGCGCAGAUAUCAGGAGGAACACCAGCGGCGAAGGCGGCGCUCUGGGCCGGAACUGACGCUGAGGAGCGAAAGCGUGGGUAGCAAAUAGG
RNAcentral lists this ribosomal RNA (254 nucleotides) under uncultured bacterium. RNAcentral's name for it is "partial 16S ribosomal RNA". It matches the Rfam family "Bacterial small subunit ribosomal RNA", at positions 524 to 776 of the family's 1533-position model. The record is from RNAcentral.